This is a long non-coding RNA of Pezoporus occidentalis (night parrot), 775 nucleotides long. RefSeq lists it as uncharacterized. The transcript is spliced from 3 exons. The record is from RefSeq and is a predicted model, not a curated record. NCBI's taxonomy places the organism in Eukaryota, Metazoa, Chordata, Aves, Psittaciformes, Psittacidae.
UUCUGGGCAGUCUGUGUUCCAGUGGUGGAGAUUUCACUGGUUACAAUACCUCCAAACACGCAACCCAGGGAACUGGUGGAAUUAAUUUAUGUGUAUUGUGAAAUAAGGAAUCUGUAAAUUAAUAGAAAAAAAGUGAAUAGGUUUCUGAAAUAAGGCAUCUAUGCUGGAUUCUUGGCUCUGCUCUGCUGCCAGCUAUUGUCAUGUGCAGAAGACUUGAUCCCAGCUGACAACCUGCCUAACCCAAGAGGAUCAUAUGUCUUCUUAAUCAGUUGAAAGCUGUGUACAGAGACAGACCUUUGAGGGAUGGACUCCACAGUGAACACACAGGAGGAGGAUCUGUUCUAUGGGUCUUUAAAACGUGGGUUUUUUUGUCUGCCUUGGACAGGACUCAAGAUGGGAGUGGUAACUUCCAGCAGAGGAAGGUGCAACAGGAGGGAACGUUAAUCCCUUAUUACUACUCAGGCAUGAACUGCUGGCAGAAUAACCCUAAUUCUGCAUGACUUCAUGCUUUUGGCCUGGAAAUAAGACCUUGGAACUGCUCAUACUGACAAGCUCCUCUGUAAGCUAAGAACCUCAACAAACAUUAUUUCUGGUGGGCUUGUGUCUUGUGCGUAAUUCAACUUAGAGCAGUAACCCAAGGCCCCAGCUGCUCCCUAGUAUGCUAUGAUACAAUCUUUGUGCAAGAAAUGCACAAGCCCAAAGCCAGAGCUAUGCUUAUUAGCCAAGCAGUAGAUACAACCACCUGGCCAGCUAUGCAAGACCUCUGCUUUGCCUU